Haemorhous mexicanus (house finch) is the source of this 4801-nucleotide long non-coding RNA. RefSeq lists it as uncharacterized. NCBI's taxonomy places the organism in Eukaryota, Metazoa, Chordata, Aves, Passeriformes, Fringillidae. The transcript is spliced from 3 exons. The record is from RefSeq and is a predicted model, not a curated record.
UCUGUUAGCAAUGUGUCUACGUACUGUACAAGGUGAAUUGCUUUGUUUUAUGAUUCAAAGCUAUUUAUAAAGUCUUUUUUUCUUUUUCUUCCUAACAUGGCUCUUAUCUCAUAAAGAAUAUCCCUGAGGUCCAACUUUUCUUACUUUGUGGUAAGUCUCACAGAGACCUCUUCUGACAGAAGGCAAUCUUGUCCUGUGUGCUGGCUCAGAGCUCAGUCCUCGCAGAAGAAAUAGGAGACCUUGUCUUUCUUGAAGGGUUAAUGUGCCCUAAGGAAGCAGCAAUCAACAGACAUUAACUCGUGAUCACAAGCACAGGAGCUGCAUCUUCGAUGGACGUGCUAGAGGAAGGUGAGAAGAUGAAGCAUGGAAAAUGAAUCUCCUACACACGGUUGUGCUGAAAGUCUGUGAUGGAAUGAGAAGUAAAUACCAAACUGCUGGUGUCCUGCUUCAGGAGCACUAUAGUCCUAAUUAUGACUUUUCCCCCUCUGCUUUCACAUUCUAAUAUCAUGCAGAAUUGUUUCAUUUGUAUUUUUAAGAGUACCUAUAAAUCCUGAUUCCUCAGUUCAUUUGCAACAAUUUAGAAAGUACUUUACAUGUCCUGGUGGGCUACUGCAUUAACCAAAACUGUGCUGAUACUCUACAGAACUGGUGUCGGGCUCUCUAGCUGGUCAGUGACCCAGAGAAAACUUAGAAAGUCUCUUUUCCCAGCCCAGUGCUGGGAAAGAGUCAGGGCUCUUCAUUUCUCGGUCUCAAGGUUGUUUAUUGUAUCUUAUCUAUAAAGUUCUUUCUCCUGUCCUGCUGAGGUCCCCUCAGCACGACAGUCAGAGGCACUCUGCCUGGCCCUGGGUGGUGUUAUGUCUUUAUACUAAAAACUACAUAUGCAAUGUUUGCAAUUACUUUCCAAUACCGAUCACCUCUGUUAGACAGUGAGCUUCUACUCUAAACCACUCUAAAAGUGCCAACAUCACAGCAGAAGAUGGAAGCCAAGAAGAAGAAGAAGGACAAAGGCAGGACAUGCCCAAAUUCCUCCAUCUUGCCCCCUGAAUCCUCCAUUCUAGAGACCCCAGAAUCUACUUUUUCACCCCAUGAUAAAUACACUAUCAUUCUACUUAAUUUUUCAUGGCUUGCAGAUCUUUAUCUAAGGUUGGUAACUUGCUCCACAGGUCAUAAUCAAAACCACAGGCAUUUUAGGCUCUGUGCCAGGGUCUCUGAGACCCCUGGCAGGGGUCUUGGAUGCUCAGGACAGCCAGAGGGAUGUCCUGAGACCUGACAAACUGGUAGAAAACUUUAAAGCAGCAAAACCUUCUUGUUCUCUCAUUCACUCAAUACCUAUGUUGAGAGGGAAGGAUUAAUUUUCUUGGGACAUACUAGGAAAGAACCCUUAAGCUAGAAGUGGAAGACACAAGAAAAUGGUUUCACAGUAAUUGCUAGUAGGAAAACUAAAUAUAAAAUCACAAAACCCAGAUAUUGCAGUCUCAGUUCUACGGUAGUUUGGGAAAAAAUAAAAGAUCCCUGGGGAAAAGUGCUGAAACAGCAAAAGAGAUUAUGGAAAUCCAUUUAAGAAACUGAGAUUGUGAAGCUUAUUCAUAAAAUAAAAGGGGACUCCAAGAACAAAGAAAAAAGUCACAGCCUCACAGCCUUUCAGACAUAUGCCAAGAGAACUGAGCAUGUUUGAUAUUUCCGUUUUACAAGCAAGAACCAGAUAGACACUAUUAUAAGGAGAAGCUGAACAGACUGAAGAGCUACACAGUCUUUUUCCCAUCACAAUAUCUUGGAGUGUGUUAGGCAAUUCCAGUGUAAGACCUUUCAUCCUUUGACCCCACUGUCUCUCUCCAGAGAUGUACUGAUCUCCAUCGUAAUUUUUCUAGGUAUCUACAUGCCUUUUAACAAUCCUUGAGCCAAAUAAGUACAGUCUUUAUUAAAAAAAAAAAAAAAUUUCUAAACCACAGCUCCAGCUAUUGCCACAAAAUUAUUAUACACUUUGAAUAGCUUCUGGAAGAGUUUACAUGCUAUGCUUGCUUGAGAUGACAGGAGACAGGAUGUUUUCACUAAUCAUUAAGAAAGAAGGUGGCAGGAAAUCUCACUCUUCAGAUCAUGUAAAGGACUCCUUGUGAUCUUUGCUUUGAGAAAUUCUGAUAUCUCCACUCUAAAGCUUUGUAAUUUGGCAUGUGAAAUCUCUGCAGGUGGGAGUAGUGCAUUUCCUUUCCAUGGUGAAGUUUCUCACAGAUUGGCUGAGCUGAAUAGAGUUGAGCAUGGCUAUGUCCUGAGCUUUCCCAGGAGGCUGUUAUCAAUUGCUGCAAUCCUAGAACAUUCCAGAGAACCUCAUGCAAGACAGUACCAAAAAAGCAGCCUGGGAACUGAAACCAACAGCACUGUUCUAGGAAUUCUAAUGGGAUGGCUGGUUAUCAUUCCUGACAGAGAGUGACCCAAACUUAUCUUCAUGUCUUGCAACCACCAUAUAGCUGCAAGAAGACCACUUCCUCUUUGGCUGACUUUCUGUGAGUCCUGCUGUUGAGGGACAGAGAGCUGAUCUCCUGGGCAGAUGUAAGACGGUGACAGCCUAUGCUGUGACACAGGGGCUGAUCAGGAUUUUCUGGCAUGUGACAGUGUUGAGUUCUGCCUUCUCUCUACUAAAACAUAUGCAAAAGUAUUAUUAAAGACAUUUUUUAGGUUGUAAAGUCCAAGUCCAGUGAAUUAAUUAAGUGAUCUAAAGAUAACAUUAAUUUGCCCUUAUUUGUAAAUGUAUCGAAAGUUCCCAUGAAAAUAUGACCUUGCCCAAUAUUUUAAAGACAUGUCAAAAGCAGAAUUAGAGUUAAAUACUCUUAUAUUUGGCAUUUCCUAACAUUUAAUUCAUUUAACAACCCAAUCCAAUGCAAGUAGCUUUCCUUUACUGUUGUUUUUGUUGUGUGGUUUUGGUUUUUUUAUUAUAAUUACAGACAUGUACAUGCACAUGUUUAUGCUCAUAUAAAUUUACAAUACUGGGAAAAAGGAAGCUGUGUUUUCCAUUCAGUCUGAAAUGUAUUGCUUGACUUGCUUCCCUGUAAUGAUUCUUGAGGAAGAUAAGUAAAAUAAAAAGGCUAAAGGCCUCAUGAACUCUAUGCUACCCCUGUAAUUACAGUAUUUAAGGGUUCUUAAACACACUGCAGAAGAAUAAAAGGAAACUAUCUUAACAUAAGCACUCCUGGGUACAUGCUAAAUCUGUUCACUUUUUUCUUAGCCUACCACCUCCCACCAGCUGACCUAAUGAACAAGUCACUUCUGAUGUCAGAAGAAUCUACAUUUUAGCCGUUCCAGCUGGGAACAAGCAAGGUUGUAUCCUGCCAUGCAGCAGUUACUCUGAGAAUGGGAUAAGUAGAAAAGCUGGCAAAGGUUUCAAAAUAUAACAAGCUCUAAAGAAGUGGGAUUCUGUUUAUCUGCAGUUAUGUGGGUGGGGUUAAGCCCUCCGCCUAAGCCCUGAUGUGUAGGAGCCCUGGUUAUGAGUUUUUUUAACCCCAAGUGCCAGACUGGGAGCUGUGGUGAUAGGUUGCUAACUUAGGAGAUCAUGGGCAUUUGACAAGAUCUCAUUUGUCCAGUCCACAGAGGAUGCUCUGUUUCCGUUCACAUGCCAAUUCUCCACUUAUUACUUGGCAUAUAAUGCAAGCUGUGUUUCCUCCAUGAUUGUCCUUGAGCAAUAUAAGCUCCCUCAAUUUCUAAAGGGUAGACAUCCUUGAGUAAUAAGUAUUACUAUGUAACAAGAGUUCAGAGAUUUAAUAUUUUUCCCUUUGGUUUCCCUGAGAGUUCAUCACAAAAUUGUUCCAGGUCUGCUUUGAUGAAAAGAGCAGAAUCCUUGCAGGCAAAUUCCUGGCAGCACAUAGAAUAUUCAUAGUUUCCAUUUUUAAUUCUGCACUUCCUGUUGCAUGUAUUUACUCUCGAGCCACUUCAUUUAAAUUAUGAAAUACAGCACAUUUAAACAAAAAAUAAAAAGUUCUAUAGACUUGCAGUUAAUACAUGCAGCCAAACAAACCACACAGCACAAAGCCCACCAAAUGUGUUGUGUGAAGGUGGAAUCACUGAGGGCUGUAGAAAAUUUAAAGAAUUGAAGAAAAUAUUUGUGACAGUUUGAUAUAGCCAAGCUAUUUGACAUAUGAGCAGUGAAGGAUCCAAAGUGUGGUUGGUAAGGUAGAUUCAAUAAGGAAGUAUAAUCAUUUAUCUGUAGGAAUUGUUAUAAUUAGUAGUUGUUUCCUCUUCCAUUAUUUUCUAAGAACUCUGCAGUAUCUUCUUCAGUAUGUUUCAAGUUUAAUGUGCUAUAUAGGAUGGGCAAGUGUUGUAGUCAUGGAAUAGAAAUGGCCAUGUAUGUGUCCAAAAAGUCACUUUUGUGUUCUUUCACAUAAUCAGAAAUGAAAUAGUCAAGAUUAUUUUCCUUUUGGUCAUGUUAAAAGAGAGAGGUUAGUUCAUACAGUCCCUAAGUACUUCCAUGUGUGUUCACCCUUAGCUAAAAGGCAUAUCACUCUUGCAGGUGACUGAAAAGUGGUUAAAAUGUAAAUUAUUGAGGGCUUACAAAAUGAGAUGACAUUUGAAAUGUGUCAUUGUUAAUUAAAAAAAAAAGUUUUGAUGUUAUUCCCACCCGCACAUGUCUAAAUUUGUACAUCUACCUUUUUAAAUCUUUCUAUUUUACCCUAGAGGAACUUUGCCAUCCUCCUCAACUGCCAUCUUCAUUUAAUGAUGAAAGGAACAAAAGAACAUGCAGGUCCAAAGAUGCUACGAAAAAUAUAACCCAGGUUCUGCUGCAAUAAAAAAAUAACAAUGUAUAAUGUGGAACAAU